Acanthosepion pharaonis is the source of this 109-nucleotide non-coding RNA. The record is from the annotation of a GenBank genome assembly. NCBI's taxonomy places the organism in Eukaryota, Metazoa, Mollusca, Cephalopoda, Sepiida, Sepiidae.
GCCACAUCACAUUGAAACCCCAAUUCUCAUAUGAUCACCGAAGUUACUCAAUGUCGAGCUUGGUCAGUACCUGAAUGGGUGACUGCUGGGGAAUACCAGGUGCUGUAAG